UACGUAGGAUGCAAGCGUUGUUCGGAAUUACUGGGCGUAAAGCGUACGUAGGCGGUGACAUAAGUUUAAUAUUAAAGACCGAAGCUCAACUUCGGGAAUGUAUUGAAUACUGUGUCGCUAGAGGUUAAUAGAGGAAAUCGGAAUUCCCAGUGUAGCGGUGAAAUGCGUAGAUAUUGGGAAGAACACCGGUGGCGAAAGCGGAUUUCUGGGUUAAUACUGACGCUGAGGUACGAAAGUGUGGGGAGCAAACAGG
This 253-nucleotide ribosomal RNA is filed under the name uncultured bacterium. Its description in RNAcentral is "partial 16S ribosomal RNA". It matches the Rfam family "Bacterial small subunit ribosomal RNA", at positions 524 to 776 of the family's 1533-position model. The record is from RNAcentral.